This 73-nucleotide transfer RNA is filed under the name Fasciola gigantica. It matches the Rfam family "tRNA". From Rfam's summary of the family: Transfer RNA (tRNA) molecules are approximately 80 nucleotides in length. Lineage: Eukaryota; Metazoa; Platyhelminthes; Trematoda; Plagiorchiida; Fasciolidae. The record is from Rfam by way of RNAcentral.
ACCGCGAUAGCUCAGCUGGUGGAGCAUCUGCCCGGUAUGCGGGGGGUCGCCGGUUCGAUUCCGGCUCGCGGCG